RNAcentral lists this ribosomal RNA (253 nucleotides) under uncultured bacterium. Its description in RNAcentral is "partial 16S ribosomal RNA". It matches the Rfam family "Bacterial small subunit ribosomal RNA", at positions 524 to 776 of the family's 1533-position model. The record is from RNAcentral.
UACGUAGGUGGCGAGCGUUGUCCGGAUUUACUGGGCGUAAAGAGCGCGCAGGCGGUCGUCCAAGUCGCGUGUGAAAGCCCCCGGCUCAACUGGGGAGGGUCACGCGAUACUGAUCGACUCGAAGGCAGGAGAGGGAAGCGGAAUUCCCGGUGUAGUGGUGAAAUGCGCAGAUAUCAGGAGGAACACCGGUGGCGAAGGCGGUUCUCUGGGCCUGUACUGACGCUGAGGAACGAAAGCGUGGGGAGCGAACAGG